AAAUAGGUAAUUAAUAAAGGAGUAAAGGUAGCGUAUUAAACGGUUCAUUUAAUGAUCACAAUCGGUGAGUUAGGUACCUACAUAUUUUUAGCAUAUCACAUCAAUAACUAUACGCAGCUGUACCCGGAAAAGAUUAGAAAUAUUUCAAAAUCAUGAAGGUAAAGGUAUCGUAAGUGUACUUGACCUAGGUAAGUAGAUAUAAAAUUGUAAAAUUUGAUGAUAGGUUAACAUUUACGGUUUCAUCUCCUUUUUGAGUACCUACCUAUCGUAUCGUGAUUAAUCGAACAAUUAUUGACCAGUAAAAAAUAAAUUUGUGCGAGAAAAUUGAAUACUCAACCUGAGAAGUUGAAUACUGUAUUUGAUCUUGCUGCCAAAUCUGCAAAUUACUCGAACGUUGUAUUCCAUUUCUGAUCUCGGGAGUUUUUAAACAUGAACUUCAACCUGUUAAUAUUCGCCAUCGGAGUCGUUUUACUGUUUACGUUUUCUCAGGCAACUCCUGACACAAAUCAGAAAAUGCCUUAUAAGGUGUUUACCAGAAAAAUCGAUUGUUUGAGAUCUUGCGUUGAUUAUUGCGAACUCCACGGAAUUCGUACAUAUCAUUGCCCUCUCACUGAAUUUAGAGGAUAUAGGUGUAAUUGCAAUAGUCCAAUGACGCAAGAUUUUAUUGAAUGAAGGCACUUAUCUCGUCCAAGUGUUCAAUAUUAGUCUUUUGUAGCAGCAAUAUUUUGACAAAUAAAUUACAAUUUUUUCAUUCUGCCUA
Planococcus citri (citrus mealybug) is the source of this 760-nucleotide long non-coding RNA. RefSeq lists it as uncharacterized. NCBI's taxonomy places the organism in Eukaryota, Metazoa, Arthropoda, Insecta, Hemiptera, Pseudococcidae. The record is from RefSeq and is a predicted model, not a curated record. The transcript has 2 exons.